AGUGAACGCUGGCGGUAGGCCUAACACAUGCCAGUCGAACGGCAGCACAGUAAGAGCUUGCUCUUACGGGUGGCGAGUGGCGGACGGGUGAGGAAUACAUCAGAAUCUACUUUUUCGUGGGGGAUAACGUAGGGAAACUUACGCUAAUACCGCAUACGACCUACGGGUGAAAGCAAGGGAUCUUCGGACCUUGCGCGAUUGAAUGAGCCGAUGUCGGAUUAGCUAGUUGGCGGGGUAAAGGCCCACCAAGGCGACGAUCCGUAGCUGGUCUGAGAGGAUGAUCAGCCACACUGGAACUGAGACACGGUCCAGACUCCUACGGGAGGCAGCAGUGGGGAAUAUUGGACAAUGGGCGCAAGCCUGAUCCAGCCAUACCGCGUGGGUGAAGAAGGCCUUCGGGUUGUAAAGCCCUUUUGUUGGGAAAGAAAAGCAGCAGGUUAAUACCCCGCUGUUCUGACGGUACCCAAAGAAUAAGCACCGGCUAACUUCGUG
Molecule: ribosomal RNA, 492 nt
Filed under: uncultured bacterium
Lineage: Bacteria
Description: partial 16S ribosomal RNA
Rfam family: Bacterial small subunit ribosomal RNA
Source: RNAcentral